UAGGGAAUCUUCCGCAAUGGACGAAAGUCUGACGGAGCAACGCCGCGUGAGUGAAGAAGGAUUUCGGUUCGUAAAACUCUGUUGUUAGGGAAGAAAAAAUGUAUAGUAACUAUAUACAAAAGAGACGGUACCUAACCAGAAAGCCACGGCUAACUACGUGCCAGCAGCCGCGGUAAUACGUAGGUGGCAAGCGUUGUCCGGAAUUAUUGGGCGUAAAGCGCGCGCAGGUGGUUUAGAAAGUCUGAUGUGAAAGCCCACGGCUCAACCGUGGAGGGUCAUUGGAAACUAAUAAACUUGAGUGCAGGAGAGAAAAGUGGAAUUCCUAGUGUAGCGGUGAAAUGCGUAGAGAUUAGGAGGAACACCGGUGGCGAAAGCGGCUUUUUGGCCUGCAACUGACACUGAGGCACGAAAGCGUGGGGAGCAAACAGG
This 429-nucleotide ribosomal RNA is filed under the name Verrucomicrobiota bacterium. RNAcentral describes it as "Verrucomicrobia bacterium partial 16S ribosomal RNA". It matches the Rfam family "Bacterial small subunit ribosomal RNA", at positions 355 to 776 of the family's 1533-position model. The record is from RNAcentral. Lineage: Bacteria; Pseudomonadati; Verrucomicrobiota.